UGAGCCUUCCCAAAGUCUAUCAUCGUUUCUCUUUACUCUCUCUACACUCUACUACUUCUCCCAUUCUUCCCAAAACCCUCUUCUUCUCAUCGUAUUCUCUCCGUCUCGCCGUCAAACGCCUCCAUUCGCCGCCGUUGCUCCGUCCGCAAUCUAGAAGAUUCGUCGCCGGUAAGCGAUUCCAGGCGAAAUCCACUAUGGCUUCCUCUAGAUUUCACCAUCUUGUCCCCGUCAACGCCCUUACUGCGGAGGACGGCGGAAAUGGCACUGGCUCUAAUGGCGCUGCUGAUGCUACUGCUUCUGUUGCUUAUGAUGACGAUGUAGAAUCAGCAUCAGCCACGGGAUAUCGUCUUCCUCCGUUUGAGAUUAGAGAUAUUGUUGAUGCU
This 383-nucleotide unclassified non-coding RNA is filed under the name Hevea brasiliensis (rubber tree). The record is from RNAcentral. Lineage: Eukaryota; Viridiplantae; Streptophyta; Magnoliopsida; Malpighiales; Euphorbiaceae.